RNAcentral lists this ribosomal RNA (432 nucleotides) under Triticum aestivum (bread wheat). RNAcentral's name for it is "partial small subunit ribosomal RNA". Lineage: Eukaryota; Viridiplantae; Streptophyta; Magnoliopsida; Poales; Poaceae. The record is from RNAcentral.
GCUUCCCUUCCUGUGUAUUACAUGUCUAAUAUCCUUUUAAGUAAAUCCACCAUUAAUAAACUCACUUUCAUAAUUAGAAAAUUCUGGUGGACAGGUAUUGAUAAGUAUAAUGCUUCCAAACCUAUCUGCUUUAGGGCUUGGGAUGAUAUUUGCAAACCUAUGCAUAAAGGUGGUCCAGGCAUUAGAGAUCUUUAUACGAUGAAUAAGUAUGUGGUUGCUAUGAUGGCUUGGAGAUUUAUUAAGAGUCCUAAUUCUCUUGUUUCAAAAGUUCUCAAAGCCAAAUAUUUUCAUAACUCUUCUAUUUGGAAAGUGAAUGGCAAUGUUCCUAAAUCUGCUUUCUGGUCCUCUAUUCUCAAAGUUCUUCCUUUCACUAGCAAGGCUAGUCAUACUCAAAUUGCUAUUGGUAAUACUUGUAUUUGGACUAGUCCUUGA